GGUGGGAAAAUACUUGCAUCUUCGGGGAUGAAGCAUCAGUGGACACACAUUGCAUUAACAUGUGGGCAUGUUUCAUAGCUUACAUUUUUGUUAUAUGGAACGGUACCACGGAGGCAUUUACAACAUGGGCAAGUAACCUCAAUGUCAAUAAGAUAGGGCUCAGAUUUACAUCUGAAUGCCAUGACACCAGAUAACCAUUUCUUGACAUAUGUGUGAUAUUUAGGAAGCCGACAUCUACUAAUUCCCUUACGUGGGUAAAGCAGCCACCUUAUCUCCUUAAAAAGGGUAUUCCUCGUGGUCAGUACCUGCGGGUUAGAAGAAAUUGUUCACAACAGAGUGACUUCUUAAAGCAAGCAGACGAUUAAAAAAAAAAAAGCUUUUUGGCUCGAAGCUAUCCUGUAGGUGUUCUAAAAACCGUAUUCUAGUCUGCGCUUCAGAGAGAACACACAUCCCUGUUGACACCCAAAAGCAAUAAUAAUAA
Molecule: long non-coding RNA, 481 nt
Organism: Bufo bufo (common toad)
Lineage: Eukaryota; Metazoa; Chordata; Amphibia; Anura; Bufonidae
Exons: 3
Source: RefSeq, a predicted model, not a curated record